This 88-nucleotide transfer RNA is filed under the name Streptomyces griseofuscus. RNAcentral describes it as "tRNA-Ser". Lineage: Bacteria; Bacillati; Actinomycetota; Actinomycetes; Kitasatosporales; Streptomycetaceae. The record is from RNAcentral.
AGCCCGGUGGGGUGGUCGCCCCGGCCGAUGAGCGCCUGGGCCGGGGAGUCGAGUUACACGGCGGGCAGAUCGGCACUGACCCGGGCCA